CGGAUUGUAGGCUGAAACUCGCCUACAUGAAGCUGGAGUUACUAGUAAUCGCAGAUCAGAAUGCUGCGGUGAAUGCGUUCCCGGGUCUUGUACACACCGCCCGUCACACCACGGAAGUUGGGGGCGCCCGAAGCCACUUAGCUAACCCUUUUGGGAAGCGAGUGUCGAAGGUGAAAUCAAUAACUGGGGUGAAGUCGUAACAAGGUAAC
This 209-nucleotide ribosomal RNA is filed under the name uncultured bacterium. RNAcentral's name for it is "partial 16S ribosomal RNA". It matches the Rfam family "Bacterial small subunit ribosomal RNA", at positions 1294 to 1500 of the family's 1533-position model. The record is from RNAcentral.